AUGGCUCAGUGGUUAAGAGCACUGACUGUUCUUCCAGAGGACCUGGGUUCAAUUCCCAGU
Cricetulus griseus (Chinese hamster) is the source of this 60-nucleotide non-coding RNA. Lineage: Eukaryota; Metazoa; Chordata; Mammalia; Rodentia; Cricetidae. The record is from Rfam.